This 300-nucleotide ribosomal RNA is filed under the name uncultured Bacillus sp. RNAcentral describes it as "partial 16S ribosomal RNA". It matches the Rfam family "Bacterial small subunit ribosomal RNA", at positions 516 to 795 of the family's 1533-position model. Lineage: Bacteria; Bacillati; Bacillota; Bacilli; Caryophanales; Bacillaceae. The record is from RNAcentral.
CGGGGAAGUACGGGGGGGGUGGGCGUGGGCCGGGUUCAUGGGGGGUAAAGGGCGCGUAGGGGGCCACUGUAAGGCCGGGGGGAAAGCCCGGGGUGCAACCCCGGAUCGGCCGCGGGGACUGCAGGGCUUGGGCACCGUAGAGGCAGAUGGAAGUCCGGGUGGAGCGGUGGAAUGCGUAGAGAUCCGGAAGAACACCGGUGGCGAAGGCGGUCUGCUGGGCGGUGGGCCCGCAAGGGUCCAAUAGCCGACACUGAGGCGCGACAGCGUGGGGAGCAAACAGGAUUAGAUACCCUGGUAGUC